RNAcentral lists this ribosomal RNA (497 nucleotides) under uncultured bacterium. Its description in RNAcentral is "partial 16S ribosomal RNA". It matches the Rfam family "Bacterial small subunit ribosomal RNA", at positions 28 to 507 of the family's 1533-position model. The record is from RNAcentral.
GAUGAACGCUGGCGGCGUGCCUAAUACAUGCAAGUCGAGCGAACAGAUAAGGAGCUUGCUCCUUUGACGUUAGCGGCGGACGGGUGAGUAACACGUGGGUAACCUACCUAUAAGACUGGAAUAACUCCGGGAAACCGGGGCUAAUGCCGGAUAACAUUUAGAACCGCAUGGUUCUAAAGUGAAAGAUGGUUUUGCUAUCACUUAUAGAUGGACCCGCGCCGUAUUAGCUAGUUGGUAAGGUAACGGCUUACCAAGGCAACGAUACGUAGCCGACCUGAGAGGGGGAUCGGCCACACUGGAACGGAGACACGGUCCAGACUCCUACGGGAGGCAGCAGUAGGGAAUCUUCCGCAAUGGGCGAAAGCCUGACGGAGCAACGCCGCGUGAGUGAUGAAGGUCUUCGGAUCGUAAAACUCUGUUAUUAGGGAAGAACAAAUGUGUAAGUAACUGUGCACGUCUUGACGGUACCUAAUCAGAAAGCCACGGCUAACUACGUG